AUACGGAAGGUCCGGGCGUUAUCCGGAUUUAUUGGGUUUAAAGGGAGCGUAGGCGGAGCGUCAAGCCAGCAGUGAAAUGUAGCGGCCCAACCGCUGCACUGCUGUUGGAACUGGCGCCCUUGAGUGCACACGAGGCAUGCGGAAUUUGUGGUGUAGCGGUGAAAUGCUUAGAUAUCACGAAGAACUCCGAUUGCGAAGGCAGCGUGCCGGAGUGCAACUGACGCUGAAGCUCGAAAGUGCGGGUAUCGAACAGGAUUAGAUACCCUGGUAGUCCGCACGGUAAACGAUGGAUGCUCGCUGUGGGCGACAAACAGUCCGCGGCCCAGCGAAAGCGUUAAGCAUCCCACCUGGGGAGUACGCCGGCAACGGUGAA
RNAcentral lists this ribosomal RNA (373 nucleotides) under uncultured bacterium. RNAcentral describes it as "bacterial SSU rRNA". It matches the Rfam family "Bacterial small subunit ribosomal RNA", at positions 523 to 898 of the family's 1533-position model. The record is from RNAcentral.